GUAUUACCUGGUCAUUGAUAAUGUAUGUGUUAUGUUACCAUUAUUGUAUCACAGGGUUAAUUUGAUUAUAAUAUGAUCCGGACAUUACGGUCCGAGUUUUAGUAUGAUCCGGACAUUGCGGUCCAAGCUUUAGUAUGAUCCGGACAUUGCGGUCCGGACGUUAGUCGUACCCUUUGGCAAUCUUAGAGGAAGUUUGCAAUGGCGUGCUCCGGCACUGUACACAUUUCAUGUCAAAGGAAACUUUAGGUCCCCCACAGGUCUUUUACCUUCCUCCGGGGAGUUUUGUGGAAUAAAGUCGUAUAACAUCACA
Long non-coding RNA from Pecten maximus, 310 nucleotides. RefSeq lists it as uncharacterized. The transcript is spliced from 2 exons. Lineage: Eukaryota; Metazoa; Mollusca; Bivalvia; Pectinida; Pectinidae. The record is from RefSeq and is a predicted model, not a curated record.